Dromaius novaehollandiae (emu) is the source of this 1782-nucleotide long non-coding RNA. RefSeq lists it as uncharacterized. The record is from RefSeq and is a predicted model, not a curated record. NCBI's taxonomy places the organism in Eukaryota, Metazoa, Chordata, Aves, Casuariiformes, Dromaiidae. The transcript has 3 exons.
GGGCUGGAAAAAGCAGCAGAUAGAGACACUUUUGCUGACUUUCCAAGACUGCCUAGGGAGUCAGCGGCCCGGACUAGGCAGAGAACCGAGGAUUUUGGUCCCCCUCCGUAGUAUGCAUUCCCCUGUGGUUUCACCAAGCAGCUACCCACAGUCCUCUCUGCCGUGGCUGGUGCCUGGAGGUUGAAGGGACAGAUAUAAAACUGAGAUUAGACAAAUUUCCCAUCGUUUUCCCUUGCUUGCCAGGUGACUUCGCAGCGUGCCCGGGUCAGGCUGGCCGGCUCCCACCUGCUGCAAGCGCCGCGUCGUCCUUCGCGAAGGGAAGAGCAACAUCUACCGCGUCGCGCGGAGAGCGUUUCCCGGAGCCUGCAACCUCCCGAGCUGGGUUUCGUUCCCUCCCCCUCCAGCCCAGCGCAGGAUCCCCUGGCGUAAAAACAUAACCGGUCACGCAAUGAGCACAUCAAAGCCGGGCGCUGCUGCAGCCGCGCAGAGGGGUGCUGGAGGGGGCUGAUGCCCGCUUGCCGGGCAGGAACGCGGGCGGCCGCGAGCGCCGGCGGGAAAGUGGGUCCAAGAAACCUCGCGCUUCCUCCCGGGAACGCGGCGGCACGCGGCCGACGUGGAGGAAGAGCGCAGCGCAGAGGAAGAGCACGCUGCUGCGGCCGUGCCUCCCCGAGAGCUCGGCCACGGUGCCCGGCGCUGGCCGGGGCUGGUGCCGGGAGAAGCACCUCGUCUGGGCAGCAGAGGUGGAGGAGCAGCUCCCGAGCUCCGGAGCUGACAAACCGGAAAAUAAAUCUGGGAACAAACUGUGUCAUGACAGGCGGACACGAAGAAUAUGCUGGGGUGGCUGCCUUGGUCUGCGGCUCCGGGAGGCCCUCGAAGCGGCCGGGGACCUGCAGCGCUGGGGACAGCACGAGCCGCAGCACGCUCACGGCAUCCGUGCGCUCACCGGCCCGCUGAGCCUGUGCGGUUGGGUCCCUUCAGAUACCACCGUGGUUUGGACUUGCUGCCAGCAAUGAUGCACUCGGUUACCCUUGCUUUAUAGGAAGAAAGUAAGGAAAAGGGAGCAAAAAACAAAUUAGCAUUUUUUUUUCCAAAUGAAGAACAAAAUAAUUCCAAUUGAGACUGGGAGGGGUGGGAUCGCGGCCUCAUCCAUCUAUUUCAGCCACUUUGAGAUUAGAUGUAUGCUGGCACAGAGCUGGAAGCACUCGUACCCUCCGCUGCUGCGGAUCCCUGUCGCUGCUGCUGCCCAUCCGCGGCUCGGCCAGCUCCUACUAUCUUGUUUUAAUUACGCUUCCUGGCCGGGGGGCGGUUUGCAACAAUGGUUCAAAAACAGGCGCUGGAAAGAGCGACUCACUUGCUGAGCCAUUGAGGAUGUUGUUUAUAUGUUAGAUCCUGUUUUCUUCCUCGAGCAAAGUGCUUCUCCUCCCAGGUGCAUCUCCCACGGCUUUCCCCGCCACGCCAAAGCGCGCGGGAGCUUCCUGAGGCCUCUGUGAACGGGGAGCGGGGCGAGAGCCGGCGGGGCUGCGGCGUGCCGGGCAAAGGCUAUCUGCCCCCCGCCUCGCGGCUCCCAGGCGUCUCAAGGGCUGCCGCUGCCCCGAGAGGUCGGCCGGUUUGUGCCUCCGCUCACAUCGCCCUGAGCUCUCCCAGCGCCGAAGCAGCGCUGGCGGGGAGCUGCUGCUGCAGCAAGGGGGGCCCUGGGCAAACGUCCUGGGCUGGCUGAAACUGCAGCGUGAUGAAUGAAGCCCUCUCCGUGUCGGUGGUGGUGAAUUCAAGAUGCGAUUUAAA